UUUUUUUUUUUUGGACCACUUCAAACAACUGCUUUGGAAGGAGUUCAUGUGUGUGUUUCUGUAUGCUCCAAUCUCUGAUCAUGUAGGCUCUAUUUGGGUCAACUAAACAGGAUCUUGGACUCUUUUCACAGACUCCCUUAAUUAACAAGGAAAUGAAAUUGACACCCCUGUGAGAAAACUAGAACUCUUUAGAGAAUCCAUUUAAUUCUUUGGAAGUAAACACUAAUCUCAUAUUAUAAUUCUAACUUCAGAGAUCUUGUGAUCUUUAUGCCACUAGGAGAAUUUCAUAUGUGAUACUACCUUUCAGGGAGUACCCAGAAAUGUUUCUAUAUGACACACACUCUUCCUUUCAAAGAAUAUCUUGGUAAAAAUGUAGUGACUACCUCAAAACAAAACAAAACAUAACAAAACAAACAAACAAACAACAACAAAAAAAAAACAGCAUGAUAAAAAUACCUCCUUCUUCAACAAUCGCGCAGUAUCUGCUUUGUAUCAGGGUUUAGCUACAGUCCAGUAAUACAAAUCCCUUAAUACUGAUUUCCAGGCCCUUUUCACCUCAUGAACUUUGUUUCUCCCACUGCUUUACCACCUCCAAUCCCUCCCAUAAUAUACUUCCAGUUUCCUGAACACAUCAUGCUUGUUCUUGCCUACAGGGCUUUGCAGAUGCUGAUUCUUCUGCUGAGAAUUCUCUUCUGUUCUUACUUUCCCUGUUUGGCUGACUGAAUUCUACUAUGCUCAGGGCUCUCCUUGAACAUGUGUCUUUUCCUCAGUGAGAAUUUCCUGAUUGCCCAAUUCUGCAUUCAAUGACCCUUCUAUAUAUUCCCAUAGCACCUUGUUUUUACCCUGUCAAGGUCUUUUUCACACUGCAGAAUGGCUUCUUUAUUUGUCUGUACAACCCAGGAGAUUGUAAUGGAAGGCAAGGGUUGUCGCUCAUUCUAUUUAGUAUUGUAUGGCUCAGCAUCUAGCAUAGUGACUAAUACAUAAUAGAUGCUUAACAGACACUUCUUGAUUGAAAAAUGAUGACCAGCAUUUAUUGUAUCUAUUAUUUCCCAGGAACUGAGUUGGGCACCUUAAACAUGUUAUAUCUACUGCUUACAUCAAUCACAGGGUGUACAUAUUAUUAUUUUCAUUUUAGAUAUGAGGAAAGGGAAGUGUAAAUAGAUUAAAUAAGCUAUCUAGGAUCUGCACUUUCUCAGCAACAAAGCCUGUACUUUCUCUCAUUUUAUAUAGCACCUCCAAGAAGACAGUAUCCCAGCACAUAUUUUAACCUCUGUUAGAACGAACAAAUAAAACUAUUUAUAUGCAAAGCACGUAAAGAUUCUUAACUAGUUUGGCUUGAAAUGUUUUAAAUUUGAUAAGACAGUUAUGAGACUUCAUAGCAUUUAUUGGCAAGCCCCUCCAAGCAUAAUUAAAAUUACCCUUCCAUGCUUGCUCUAUGAAGGAGUGUUUUCUUCACCAAUGCUUAUAUUCUAAAGCAAAUCACCUUGAAAGAAAUAGGAAAAAAGGAGUCAGAGAUAAGUUCAGUACAGUCUUUCCAUUAACCUUAUGUGCAAAUAAAUGACUAAAUAUAGACACUACCCAGUGGAGAUUUCAUUGUUCCCAGUUCCUUACAUAGAGUGUUUGUGACACUCCUAAUAAUAGUAAUAGUAAUAAAAAUCCUGUUAGAUUGGAAUAGAGGUUUACAAAGUGCUUUCAUCUACAUCAUUUUAUUUCUCAAAUUUAUCUAUAAGGAAGAAAGGGCAUUGUAGUUAGGCUUGAUAGCAGGAACAUGAAGUUCAGAAAAGUUAAGAGCUACUGAGACAGUAGUGAAAUGUGCCCUCAAGGCUUCCUACUACAGGGAACCUGGAUUAUGACUUCCACAGCCUAUGUGCUGUAUGCAGGUAAUGACUAAGUAUAGCUGGGCUACCAAGGCAGACCCUAUUUCUGGAAGGCAUGAGUCCCAUCAGAUGGCCUCCUUUGGCUCAUGCUUCCUCAAUGCAUCUGUUAAAACCACCUGAGCCUGUACUGCAAUCCAGACACUUUUCACCCAGGCCCACUCUUACUCUCUCCUUGACUGCAGUUCACGCUUGCAGCUCAGUUGGUGUACUUCCAGCUUUCUCCCCUAUUUUCAAUCACAUCCAUUUCCAUUAACUCAAUGUUUGCAUGUUUAUUACCAUUGUGGUAUCUGUUUCUAGGAGAACCAGACAAAUGCAGCUGGCCCUGUUUUAUGUGUAGCACAACUAGACCUCAUGGCUCAUGGCUAGGAAAAUUACUUCUUUAUAGCAAUCAUAGUAACAUUAAACAAUGUUAAAUGUAGAGAGAAAUUUGAAUCAGGGAGUAGGCUAUUCACACCAUUUCUUAAAGUAUACUCCUGAAAGUUACUUGGAAUAAAGGAAAAGUAGUUACUACACCAGGGAGAAAUAAAACAGUAUCUCGAUGGAUUGAUCAAUAUGGCAGAUGGAUAUACAUCUAUAUGUGAUACUCCUGAGAGGUUUACAGUACCACCCACCUAGUAUUCCAGGUGGAAAUGUGUAACCUGAAUCUAAUCAUGAGGAAUCAUCAGAAGAGGAGGAGGAGGAGGAGGAGGAGGAGGAGAAGGGACAGGAAUGUCCUAUUUUUAAAAGAAGGAAAUGCUAUUUAAAAAAAAUAAAUGACAUAAAAGACACACACAUGCAAAAGCCAUGGAAAUUUCCCAGAUUAAAGAAGACUAAAGAGGCAUAAUAAUUAAGUACAAUAUUUAUCCUCAACUUGAAACUAUACCAUAAGAAAAAGAAUGUCAUAAAGGACAUUAUUUGGCUGAUGACAGUGAAAUAUGGAUAAUAUAUAAGAAAAGUGUUAUAUUAUCAUAUUUAAUGUAAUUGGUAACUAUUUUGGAUUACAUAAGAAAAUAUCCCAGUUUUCAGAAUAUACACUGAACUAUUUUGAAUCAAAGGGCUAUGAUAUAUGCAAUUUAUUCUCAUAUGAUUCAGAAACCAAAAUCAUAUGUACAUAAAUAGAUGACUAGGUACAUAGAUAAUAUGUGAAUGUAAAAGAAAGGGAGAGAGAGUACACAAAUUGUAUAGCAAAUGGAAUAAAAUGCUAACAAUAGGUUGCUCUAGGUAAAAGGUACCGGGUGUUCUUUGUACUAUUUUUUCUUACCUUUUUUUUCUUUGUACUAUUCUUAUUCUUGCAGCUUUUCCAUGAAUUUGAAGUUACUUUCAAAUACAAUGUAAAAUAUUUUAUAUAACCAAAAGCUUUGGAAUAACCAACCAAACACAAAAAUAAAAUAAAUAAAAUAAAAGCAGAGAGGAGUAUGACAUGUAUGUUUUCUAACUGAAAAGAUGCAAUUUGCCUUCCAGGGCUCACCAUGCCAUACCGGUAGCAUAACACCCCAAGAAGGACUUACCUGGACCCCUUCCUUUCUGGACUCCUAUCAUGCUCCAUCUUAUAC
Molecule: long non-coding RNA, 3409 nt
Filed under: Canis lupus familiaris (dog)
Lineage: Eukaryota; Metazoa; Chordata; Mammalia; Carnivora; Canidae
Description: lncRNA (ENSCAFG00845012613.1)
Source: RNAcentral